Molecule: ribosomal RNA, 696 nt
Filed under: Triticum aestivum (bread wheat)
Lineage: Eukaryota; Viridiplantae; Streptophyta; Magnoliopsida; Poales; Poaceae
Description: partial small subunit ribosomal RNA
Source: RNAcentral
AUGCAGGUUCUAUUUUAUUGUUCCGAGACAUAUGAUGAUAGCAUUGAGAAUGAGAAAUCUUUGCAAAAUGCACGUAUUAUUAAGGAGUUCUGGAACGAUUACUACGCUAAGCUGUUGGAUAUUGACAAAACGAAAAAGACUUCUAAUGUUGAUAUGUAUCAGGAUGAUGUUAGAAAGUUGUUGAUUAAUGAAAAGAAGAAUCAAAAUGGUGUGUUUUCCGAUACUGAAUUAAUAGAUUUACAGAAUCAAAUUGCAAAUUGCACAAUGAAGUUCGAUGAGGAUAAUCUAUUUAAAGUAACUCCUAACAUAGUAAAGUUCUUGAUUAAUAAAGAUCAGCCUAACGCUAAGCAAUAUCUAAAGGGUUGCCUACCAAGUAGCUUACCUAUGCUUAAGAUGUGUGGUAUCUAUACGCUUGAGGCUAUCAUGAUUCAUGUACUAGGCUUGGUAUUUAACACUCUUCAGGAAUCAUCCGCAGUUAAGGCAGCUAGAUUUAUAGAUCAACUUAAUUCAACUGUGCGAGAACAAGCGAGGUUUCUACAAUACAAAGCACCAGGUAGUGGUAAGGUGGAAGCAGUACUCACUAGUAAGGUAGAAUCAGUUAAGGAUGUUGUUCAGCCCAAAGGUGCUAGCAAAAAAGAGAAAAAGAAAAAAUUCAGUGUCAUUAUGAUAUCGGGAAAUACUUGCUCCAAUUCAUGA